This 224-nucleotide long non-coding RNA is filed under the name Elaeis guineensis (African oil palm). Its description in RNAcentral is "long non-coding RNA (EGUI_LNC073120)". The record is from RNAcentral. Lineage: Eukaryota; Viridiplantae; Streptophyta; Magnoliopsida; Arecales; Arecaceae.
UUCUUGAUCUUGUAUGAAUAUCUAAAAUUUUUUUGAUAAAUAACUAAUGUGGGACUAAAUAUAUAUCUUCAUGGGUCCUUAUAAAGAUAUUCAUGAAUUCUCCAUCAUUGUGUUACAAAGAAUGAUCUUAGCUUUCAGGGACCAUCGUAUACUUGGUAUAGUUAUCAACAGGAUGCUGCAAGGAUUUCCGAAAAGGCUAGAUCACACAUUUGCUUUGGACGCCU